AUACCAAUCGUGGCCUUGUUUACUUUUGGUUAGGUAGUGAUUGUGUAUAUAAAAAGAUGUUAUUCGGCAUAAUAUAUAUAUCCAGCUCUACAUUUGUUCUUUCGAUUUUCUUGUAUUAAUGUCGCAGUUAUACUCUCUUGAAAACAUGCAGGAGAUGCUAAAGCUAGCUGUCAAAUACAACAAAGCAGUUCAAGAUGAGGAUGAAUUGCCACCGGAAAAACUAGCAAUUGCGAACGUGGGAAAGCAAGACGCAAAGAAGCAUCUCGAGGAGCACGUCUCGAACUUGAUGUCUUCAAACAUCGUUCAGACAUUAGGCACGAUGCUCGACACAGUUGUUUUCUAGAGAGAGAGAGAGAGAUAUCACAAAAUCUUUGAUUUGGUUGCUAGUUUGACUAUGUUGUAUCAACAUCUGAUCAUUUGUACUCAGCAACAUUUCCCAUUCCAUGAAAUUCAGCUUUUUAUGGACAUACAAAAAACGCAAAUUCGAUAGACAUAACCGUCGUCUGAAGCAAAAUUUAUUAAAUGAAUCGUAACUUAUUAUGGUUCGAUACUAUUCGCUAGUGUCGAAGCAUAUGCAGGUGGCAUAUCCCUAUUGAAGAAAGCAGCCAUUCUUGUCAUCCUCUCUUUAGCUCUCUCGCCAUUCAAGUCGUGCAAAUGAAAGCAAUGCCCCUCCCCUUCGACUUCAUGGAUCUCAACCGUACCCAACCACCCACUCCGACUCAACGCAUCGAAAUAAAGCCUCCCUCUAUCCUUCAAAAUAUCCUUCUCGGCCACACAAACCAGCACUCUCCAGCACCCGAGACCCGCCAAACCCGGCCCAACCGGGUCGAUCCACGGGUCGUCUACCGGGCACGACGGACAAACCAACGGCCACAGCCGGUCCACGUAUGCCUUCCUGUCUGGGUCGAGCGCCUCCGACCCGAUCGGAUCUGGCCCCCAGAAAUAUGGAUCCACCAAUGCGAUCCCAAGAAUUUCCAAUUUCACCCCUGCGUCGGGAUUCCCGACCGCCAUGGCCAAGUUGUGCGCUAUGUUGCCGCCCGCGCUGUCGCCGGAGAGGAAAACUCGCCGGAAGUCCGCAUGGCGGUUGAGGAGCGGCUCAGGCCCGUCGCCGCUACUGUGAGCCGACACCCACUGGAGCGCGGCCCAUGAGUCCUCGUAGCCAAUGGGGAGAGGGUGCUCCGGAGCCCUCCUGUAGUGCACGGAAACUGCGAUGACUUGGGAUUCGGCUACGAGGGCAUUCAUGUAAUUGUGGUAGAGAGGAGAAGAAGGGGUGUACACGAAGAAUGCACCCCCGUGGAAAUAAACAAGAAGAGGGAGCUUCUGAUUGGCAGUGGUGAGUUUUGGCAGGUAGAUUCGGACAUAAACCUCGGUUUCCGGGAUUAUGUCUUUUACGUCCUUUGAGGAAACGCCCGUUUGAGGAUCGGUGCCAGGUGGCGUGGUGUCGGUUCCGGUUAAUCUUUCGACGUGGCCGUUUUUGUAGACUUUGAUAUGUGGUGGAAACUCAUAGUCUAGCUCAUUGAUGGUUGCAGCCAUUGUAGAGGAAGAGAGUUAUUUUCAGAGGAUAGUUUUUUUUUCCCAAUGGAUAUGAGUUGUGAUGUUUUUCCUCCACACCUUUGUGUAUUUAUAACAAAAUUGAUGGAUGUAUUGGGUCAAUGAGACGUUGACUAAACUAACCAAGGUUCAGUUCUGACCUGAAUACUGAUUUUUUAUGAUACGGGAUCUUGGGAGAAACAUGUAAAUAUUAAUAGUAUAGGGGUGUAUUUAUAAAUAUUCCAUAAUAAACAUAUAUAAGUUUUUGUUUAUAUAUAAAUUCUUUUUAUAUAUUUUGUACAAACAUAUUAAAAAUAAAUUUUACUAUCAACUAUUAAUUUGCAAUUGAUCAUUAAAUCAUGUAAAUAAUUUGAGAAACAACAAAAAUGUUUGAAAAUUUGCUAUUCAUUUUCAAACGUGUUUCUAACUUUUUAGAAAUUGCAAAAUGACCCGUAAGGUGUCCGGCAGGUGUCCUCGAGUUUCCGAUACGAAACGCAAAAACGUUGAGAAGUUGAAAUUUCUGUGCUUCAUAAGCUUUAAUAUGGUGCGAUAUUAUUUCAACUACAUAUGUUAUCGGAAUACAAAAUUCAUUCGUGUAUAUUUACCCUUCGACCAAUCUUUCUCCACGACCAAGAAUUAGAUGGAGACUUGGGCAGAGGAGGCUGCAACAAAGUCUUCCGACAAAGGCCGAACGGCCACCCUUCACACUCAAUAAUCAUCUCCCGAAUAAUAAAAGAUUGCUUGGCGACGAAGUAAUCCCGAUUAACAUGGGUCCCACUUAAGCUCGAAGAUCGAGAAAAACGUGUUUUAACAGAGAAUGAUUCGUCGAAGCUAGUGGCGCUCGAGCAUCGUGAGAGCCUACUGCAUGCAGAGAGAAACUCCUCUCUGUUUUUUCCACAGUUGCUCCUUUUUUCGGUUGCUUGUGGAGAUAGAGGCCAUUUAAAGCUAUCUAUUCCGAUUCGGGAUUUUCUUUGUUUGCGUUUUGAUUCGAUGUAUUUACCUACGAUUGCUGAAAUGAAUACCUGUUAUACAACCAAAAAAAAAAAAGAUUGUUACGACAAAUACGAUGGAAUUUUCAAAGAUAAAAUGAAGAGAUGAAGUGAGUUUUAUUACCUCUUCUUGUUGGUCGAAAUCGGUGAUCGGCUCCGCUUCUUCGGGGAUUGAAUCGGGUCGAAAAGAACGACGUUUGGUGAAUAAAUCCUUGAGGAAUUUGAAUCUCUUGAAGGGAUUUGGUGGCUCUUCUUGAUAAAACAUAUUCAUCAUGUUUUUAGGUGGAAAAGUGAGGUGUGUGUAUAGUACUACUAUUAGUACACAACAAUCUUUGGGGUGAAGCCAAAGUUAAAAGAAAAGAUACAAAAGUUCUAACAUAUAUAUAUAUAUAUAUAUAUAUAUAUAUAUAUAUAUAUAUAUAUAUAUAUAUAUAUAUAUAUAAGUGUAAAUUACGGCCACCAGCCUGAGAUAAUGUUAAAAUACGAAAAUAUCCCUCAUGUUUGGGUAACUACAGUCGCUUCUCAACUAUUACACGUUCACCCUUAUGGUGUCAAAUUCAACAGACUCUUCUAGAUUCAGGCCGUGGAAUGUUCUCUAGUUUGUACUCGUUUCGGGUUUCGAGUUUCUGAAUGCACCAUAAUCUGAUAUUUACAAGGCAAGAGAUACACAUCUUAUGAUCAUCUUAUUUCAAAAUGUGUAGCUCGAAUGUGAUAAAACGGGUACAAACUGGAGAAUAUUCCACAUAAUCUAGAAGAUUCCACAAAAUUUGACACCACAAGGGUGAACGUGUAAGAAAAUUCCUCGCUGAGGGGAGUGGUUGUAAUUACCCAAAUACGAGGUUUUUUUUUCCUUCGGAAUUUGACCUUAUCUCAAGGGUGGCUGAGAGGAAUGGAAUAACAAUUAGUCUUCUUACUCAUUUUGCACAAUUCCAUCGAUCAAAACUCGAACUAUAUAUCGUUAAUACGAUCGAAAAGGUGCUGCAACUGACAACUAACUAAUAAAACCAAUACCGUUCAAACACUACGAUAACUCUAUUUUUAAAAUUAUUAGAUCCGAAACCAUCAUAUACGAGAUGUAGGAACUUAUAAGACGGAGUCUUUUAACUAAUCUCUAGCCAAAGAUGAAAUAUAACCUCCACUCUCCCUCGUUAUCGGACCGAUCGAACAUACGAAAAACAUAUCGAGAAAUUUCAAGAUUUCCAAAAGGGCAGCUAAGUACGAAACGAAACCGUAUCAAGAACUGCAUUUUUAUUUAAAAAAAACAAAAAAGGGGAAUCAAUUAGGAGAUUUCUGAAGCUGUUGUGAUGUGACAGAAAUAAGAGAUUGAAGCUUCGCAACGGCAAACGUCUUGUGAGGCGGGCAUUUCGACAGAGCAACGUUUAACGAUAUUACAGCUUCGUCGACGUUACCUGCAGCCAUGGAAGCCAUCCCUGCCUUGUAAGCUUCAUCCGCCAUUCGAGCAUCGAAUUCCGAAUACGCCGACGAUUUGUUGGAAAAAACGGGAGCACGAGCGUACUCGAGAGAAGCAAUGGCGGAGUUAAUCUCCGCCAUCAACACCUCCGGUGGAUCAACGGCUACGAUCUUCACACCGUCGAAUACAUUCCACGGAUGCUUCUUUUCUACAGCACUCAUUCAUUCGAUCGUACGACAAGUUCUCGUCGAUAAUCGAGAACUCUCGUUUAGGCUACCAAUACUGCAUUAUCAGUUCAUUUAACAGCUACAUAUCAUUGCAAUAAAAAUAUAUAAUUAACUGUGAUUAAAUCUAAAAGCAGCAAAUCUAUAUAUCCACAGCUAAUCAAGAAAUUAAUUUCAUUUAUAAAUAAACAAUAUAAUAUAUAUAAUAAUCAGAAAUAGCUCAACCACAUAUAUAAUAUAUUUCCCCAACAUGCCUGAUUCACAUAAACGACGCAGUUUGAUAAAUUCACAAGUAAUUAACAAAGAUGAAAUUUAAAAAAAAAAAAAUUAAAAUUAAAGGAAAAAUAUAUAGUAAGCCACUCAUAUAUCAGCUGCAAGAUAGAUGAUCUAAACUGAAUAUGAUGUUAGAAAUCGAACCUUUGAGGAAGAAAA
Molecule: long non-coding RNA, 4586 nt
Filed under: Erythranthe guttata (spotted monkey flower)
Lineage: Eukaryota; Viridiplantae; Streptophyta; Magnoliopsida; Lamiales; Phrymaceae
Description: long non-coding RNA (EGUT_LNC002810)
Source: RNAcentral